GCCGCGUGAGUGAUGAAGGCUUUCGGGUCGUAAAACUCUGUUGUUAGGGAAGAACAAGUGCUAGUUGAAUAAGCUGGCACCUUGACGGUACCUAACCAGAAAGCCACGGCUAACUACGUGCCAGCAGCCGCGGUAAUACGUAGGUGGCAAGCGUUAUCCGGAAUUAUUGGGCGUAAAGCGCGCGCAGGUGGUUUCUUAAGUCUGAUGUGAAAGCCCACGGCUCAACCGUGGAGGGUCAUUGGAAACUGGGAGACUUGAGUGCAGAAGAGGAAAGUGGAAUUCCAUGUGUAGCGGUGAAAUGCGUAGAGAUAUGGAGGAACACCAGUGGCGAAGGCGACUUUCUGGUCUGUAACUGACACUGAGGCGCGAAAGCGUGGGGAGCAAACAGGAUUAGAUACCCUGGUAGUCCACGCCGUAAACGAUGAGUGCUAAGUGUUAGAGGGUUUCCGCCCUUUAGUGCUGAAGUUAACGCAUUAAGCACUCCGCCUGGGGAGUACGGCCGCAAGGCUGA
Molecule: ribosomal RNA, 511 nt
Filed under: Bacillus sp. G7(2007)
Lineage: Bacteria; Bacillati; Bacillota; Bacilli; Caryophanales; Bacillaceae
Description: bacterial SSU rRNA
Rfam family: Bacterial small subunit ribosomal RNA
Source: RNAcentral